This 374-nucleotide ribosomal RNA is filed under the name Hierodulella celebensis. Its description in RNAcentral is "partial 12S ribosomal RNA". The record is from RNAcentral. Lineage: Eukaryota; Metazoa; Arthropoda; Insecta; Mantodea; Mantidae.
AUACCCUAUUAUUUUUAUUGUAAAGGAAAAUAAACUGGAGUAUUAAUAGUUAAGAUCUUUAAACUUAAAGAAUUUGACGGUAUUAUAGUCUAUUUAGAGGAAUCUGUUAUGUAAUCGAUAAUCCACGUUGUACCUUACUUAUAUUAUUUUUUGUAUACCUCUGUUUAAGAUUAUACUUUUAGGUAAAAUUUUCUAAAUAUAAUAAUAUUUAAAAUUUCAAGUCAAGGUGCAGUAAUAUAUAAGUUGAAUAAUGGAUUACAAUAAAUUUUAUUUAAAUGAAUUGUUAUUGAAAUAUAAUUAUGAAGGUGGAUUUAAUAGUAAUUUUAUGAAGAUUAUUAAAAUGAUUUUAGCUCUAUAAUAUGUACACAUCGCCC